CCUACGGGAGGCAGCAGUCGAGAAUCAUUCACAAUGGGGGAAACCCUGAUCCUGCGACGCCGCGUGGGGGAAUGAAGUCUUUGGAUUUGUAAAUCCUGGGAUUGGGGAAGAAAACAAUGACGAUACCACCACAAGAGGACACGGCUAAGUACGUGCUAGCAGCCGCGGUAAUAAGAAGGUGGCAAGCGUUGUACGGAAUGACUGGGCGGAGAAGAUGCGUAGGAGGGUGCGUAAGUUGUCUGUGAAAAACCGGGGCUCAACCCCCGCGCGACAGCCGAUACUAUUAGACUAGAGUGAAGGAGGGGUAAGCGGAAUUCCCAGUGUAGCAGUGGAAUGCGUAGAUAUUGGGAGGAACACUCGGGGCGAAGGCGAGUUACUGGACAGUAACUGACACUGAGGCACGAAGGCGUGGGGAGCAAACAGGAUUAGAUACCCCAGUAGUC
This 443-nucleotide ribosomal RNA is filed under the name uncultured bacterium. Its description in RNAcentral is "partial 16S ribosomal RNA". It matches the Rfam family "Bacterial small subunit ribosomal RNA", at positions 338 to 795 of the family's 1533-position model. The record is from RNAcentral.